AUCUUAGUGGCGGACGGGUGAGUAACGCGUGGGUAACCUGCCUUACACUGGGGGAUAACACUUAGAAAUAGGUGCUAAUACCGCAUAAUAGGAGAAGACGCAUGUCUUAUCCUUGAAAACUCCGGUGGUGUAAGAUGGACCCGCGUCUGAUUAGCCAGUUGGCGGGGUAACGGCCCACCAAAGCGACGAUCAGUAGCCGGCCUGAGAGGGUGAACGGCCACAUUGGGACUGAGACACGGCCCAAACUCCUACGGGAGGCAGCAGUGGGGAAUAUUGGACAAUGGGGGGAACCCUGAUCCAGCGACGCCGCGUGAGUGAAGAAGUAUCUCGGUAUGUAAAGCUCUAUCAGCAGGGAAGAAAGAAAUGACGGUACCUGACUAAGAAGCCCCGGCUAACUACGUGCCAGCAGCCGCGGUAAUACGUAGGUGGCGAGCGUUAUCCGGAAUGAUUGGGCGUAAAGGGUGCGCAGGCGGUCCUGCAAGUCUGGAGUGAAACGCAUGAGCUCAACUCAUGCAUGGCUUUGGAAACUGGAGGACUGGAGAGCAGGAGAGGGCGGUGGAACUCCAUGUGUAGCGGUAAAAUGCGUAGAUAUAUGGAAGAACACCAGUGGCGAAGGCGGCCGCCUGGCCUGUUGCUGACGCUGAGGCACGAAAGCGUGGGGAGCAAAUAGGAUUAGAUACCCUAGUAGUCCACGCCGUAAACGAUGAGGACCAAGUGUUGGGGGUGAAACCUCAGUGCUGAAGUUAACGCAGUGAGUCCUCCGCCUGGGGAGUAUGCACGCAAGUGUGAAACUCAAAGGAAUUGACGGGGGCCCGCACAAGCGGUGGAGUAUGUGGUUUAAUUCGAAGCAACGCGAAGAACCUUACCAGGCCUUGACAUGGGAUGCGAAGAUGCAGAGAUGCAUCGGAGGUCAACAUCCACACAGGUGGUGCAUGGUUGUCGUCAGCUCGUGUCGUGAGAUGUUGGGUCAAGUCCCGCAACGAGCGCAACCCUUGUGGCAUGUUGCUAACAGGAAAAGCUGAGGACUCAUGCCAGACUGCCGGUGACAAACCGGAGGAAGGCGGGGAUGACGUCAAAUCAUCAUGCCCCUUAUGGCCUGGGCUACACACGUACUACAAUGGCGGCUACAAAGAGCAGCGAGACAGGGAUGUCGAGCGAAUCUCAUAAAAGCCGUCCCAGUUCGGAUUGGAGGCUGCAACCCGCCUCCAUGAAGUUGGAAUCGCUAGUAAUCGCGGAUCAGCAUGCCGCGGUGAAUACGUUCCCGGGCCUUGCACUCACCGCCCGUCAA
This 1288-nucleotide ribosomal RNA is filed under the name uncultured bacterium. Its description in RNAcentral is "bacterial SSU rRNA". It matches the Rfam family "Bacterial small subunit ribosomal RNA", at positions 89 to 1400 of the family's 1533-position model. The record is from RNAcentral.